CCUACGGGGGGCAGCAGUGGGGAAUGUUGGACAAUGGGCGCAAGCCUGAUCCAGCUAUUCCGCGUGUGGGAUGACGGCCCUCGGGUUGUAAACCACUUUAGUAGAGAACGAAAAGGAGCAAGCGAAGAAAUAGCUCUGCUGACGGUACUCUAAGAAGAAGCACCGGCUAACUACGUGCCAGCAGCCGCGGUAAUACGUAGGGUGCGAGCGUUAAUCGGAAUUACUGGGCGUAAAGGGUGUGCCGGCGGCUGAGUAAGACAGAUGUGAAAUCCCCGGGCUUAACCUGGGAACCGCUUAUGUGACUGCUUGGCUAGAGUGCGUCAGCGGGAGGUCGACUUCCACGUGUAGCCGUUAAAUGCGUAGAUAUGUGGCAGAACACCGAUGGCGACGGCAGCCUCCUGGGCCGCAACUGACGCUCAUCCACGAAAGCGUGGGGAGCAAACAGGAUUAGCUACCCGAGUAGUC
RNAcentral lists this ribosomal RNA (465 nucleotides) under uncultured bacterium. RNAcentral describes it as "partial 16S ribosomal RNA". It matches the Rfam family "Bacterial small subunit ribosomal RNA", at positions 338 to 795 of the family's 1533-position model. The record is from RNAcentral.